This is an RNA transcript of Anolis carolinensis (green anole), 5167 nucleotides long. RefSeq lists it as uncharacterized. The record is from RefSeq and is a predicted model, not a curated record. NCBI's taxonomy places the organism in Eukaryota, Metazoa, Chordata, Lepidosauria, Squamata, Anolidae. The transcript has 7 exons.
UGAACCUGCGACCUUUUGGUCCGCAAGUUCAGCAGCUCAGCACUUUAACACACUGCGUCACCGGGGGCUCCCUGGUAAGGAAAAGCCUAUCAAACGUCAAAUUAUGUUAUAUUACAAAUUAGGCACCAAAACAUCAUGUUUUACAAUAAAUCAGAAAUAGUAGUUCAAUACAUGGUAGCGUUAUGUAGUAAUUACUAUAUUUAUGAAUUUAGCAGCAAAACAUCGCAAUAUAUAUAAAACAUUGACUACUAAAUAAUUGACUACACAUAGAAUCAUAGAAUAGUAGAGUUGGAAGAGACCUCAUGGGCCAUCCAGUCCAACCCCCUGCCAAGAAGCAGGAAAUCGCAUUCAAAGCACCCCUGACAGAUGGCCAUCCAGCCUCUCCUUAAAAGCCUCCAAAGAAGGAGCCUCCACCACAGUCCGGGGAGAGAGUUCCACUGCCGAACAGCCCUCACUGUGAGGAAGUUCUUCCUGAUGUUCAGGUGGAAUCUCCUUUCCUGUAGUUUGAAGCCAUUGUUCCGUGUCCUAGUCUGCAGGGCAGCAGAAAACAAGCUUGCUCCCUCCUCCCUAUGACUUCCCCUCACAUAUUUGUACAUGGCUAUCAUGUCUCCUCUCAGCCUUCUCUUCUGCAGGCUAAACAUGUCCAGUUUUUUAAGCCUCUCCUCAUAGGGCUUGUUCUCCAGACCUUUGAUCAUUUUAGUUGCCCUCCUCUGGACACAUUCCAGCUUGUCAACAUCUCCCUUCAAUUGCAGUGCCCAAAAUUGGACACAGUAUUCCAGGUGUGGUCUGACCAAGGCACAAUAGAGGGGUAGCAUGACUUCCCUGGAUCUAGACACUAUACCCCUAUUGAUGCAGGCCAAAAUCCCGUUGGCUUUCUUAGCAGCCGCAUCACAUUGCUGGCUCAUGUUUAACUUGUUGUCCACAAGGACUCCAAGUUCUUUUUCACAUGUACUGCUGUCUAGUCUUGAAAAACAGGUCCAAAGUCCUCUCUGAGGGAUUGUCAUUAUUUCUUCUUCCAUUUUCAGUCAUGGCUUCCAACUUGUAUUCUCACAGCCAGCUCCUCCAUUGUCUACAUUUGCUUUUUCUGAGAAGAUAUUUAUGCCAUUCAGGAGUUUGCAUGGUUUUGUAACACGGUAGUCUUUUAAAAAUGUUAAUAAAAACAACAAAACUGGAGCCUAAAUUUUGAAAAACAGGUCCAAAUUCCUCUCUGUGGGCUUGUCAUUCUUCCCCUUCAAUGUCCACUCAUGGAUUCUGACUUGAAUGCUCACAACCAGGUCCUCCAUUCUCUUCCUUCUUCCUUUUCCGCUCAGCCAUCCUGAGAUGUGUAUGACAUUCAGGAGUUCUCUGACUUCUCCAAUGUGAAGGCCUUGAAGAGAAGAGCCACCUCCAAGGAAUGGGGGGCCUGCUCUGGGGCCCCAUCUUGAGGCCCUUCCUUCUGCCUCGGUCCCUUCAGGAGGGACAACAUGGCCGCCGACUGCAGACGGGAUUCCCAGCCAAGGCUUUUUUCUUAAGGGAUUACGGUUCACGCUCCAAGUUCAACACAAAUAAUUCCUUUUGUAAUUUCCAUAUUUAUAUUUCAAAUGCAUCUACAUUGUUUUAAGCUGCACUGUGAUGUCUUUUGUUAGCGGUCUUGAGUGAAAAUCAGGAAAAUAAAUAAAUACACAAGCAAGCCAAUGCCUCAAUGGAGAGUUUUUUGAGAGGGAUUUGUGGAAACUGUAAUCCCAAACAGCCCUUUUCAAGCGUGAACGGGAUUCCUUCUGUUGCCACCCAACGCUUUGAGGCAACAGCAGGAAUCAGGCACCAUUUCAACUGCAGUGGCUCAAUGCUGCGGAAUCCUGGGAGUUGUAGUUUCCCCAGGGUCCUUAAAAGAAAACCUUAAAAUGUGCAGAGUCAUUUAAGCAUUACUUACUUUUGGUAUUAUGUAUAUUGAAAUAAGACAUGCAUCGCUAAAAUUUUGUUAAUUGUUGGAAUGUAAUAAAAUUUAAAAAAAAAAAGCAGAAAAGGGAGAUGCAUGGGGCCACCCUUCCUUGCUUCCUUUCUGCUCCCUCCCUCCCUCCCUCCCAGGAGCAUCUCCAGGCUGGUGAUUGUUUUCCUUUGAAAAGGUUCCAUUCUUGCCAUGGAGACGGGAGGUUCCGAGGAGCCUUGAGUCGGUUGGCCCUGCCAUUGCCUUCCUGACCACCAACAUGGGCAGAGGGCAUUCCAGGCAGGUCCAUUCCGGGGCCACCUGGGCACUGCUGACAGCCUGGCUACAACAUUGCAGCCUGGUCAUCCAAUAUCAGAGAAGGCAGGGCCUUCUCCUCCUCUGCAAAACCUAUAGGGAGGUAAGCCAGACAGAGCCCAGGCUCCACACACCACAGAGAGGCCCAGCAGGCCUUGCUCUUGUAAUCACAGGAAGAACAUACAAUAUGGUAGAUCUUGGAAGGUUCCUUCCCCAAACAAGGGGGGGGAGGCUGCAGUCAGGAGUUCUCUGCAGGGGACCUCUUAGGCAGAGUUGUGAUUUGACUUUAUCCUCCUUUUUCUCUCUUUGCAGACCAUGGGCCUUCAGGAGCUCCUGGACAGGGUUCUCGGGGGGAUGCAAUCCCCCCACACCAACAUCACUGUGGAGUUCCUGGACCUGGCUGGCCGGCUGGAGCCCCUGCUAUAUAUGGAAGACCAGGCCCUUGCGAAGGUUCACCUGACUGCCAGGUGCCGCCUUCACUUCCACCAUGAGGUGGCCAAGAUCUGGAAGGCAGCCCUAGAAUGCUCCCAGUAUUUUCUCUGGCGCCCAGUACAUCCCCUUGAGGAGCGCCAGACCAUCCAUGGCCUCCUGGCGGUGCUAGUGCAUGUGGAGGAUGAAGACGAGGAUGGGGCCAAGAUUGCGAGGGAGACACUCAAGGAGGCAGCGGAGGUCCUGCAAUGGCGCCUGAAGGACAGCGUUCUGGCGGAGGACACCAUCAGCCUGCAGGAGCUGCUUCACAAGAUCUCCAAGCGCCUGAUCCAGCACUGCAGCCCCAGGAGAGAGUUGGAGGAGCAGGUGUAUGGCUUCCUGCAUUUCUUCAAGAGCCAACGUCCAUCGGCAAAGAAGGCGGCAGCCAUGUUGCUCGCUUCUUGCCAGGUCACGUUCUUCACAAGCACUGCAACAUCUGUGCCAAGAGAAACAUGUACACCUUCAAGGCCUGGCUGAUGAACCUCCUUGCCGACCGUGACCCUGAAGUCAGGCGAGUUGGCAGGGAGAACAAAGCCAUCCUUGCCAGGGCCUCUGCCCUCCACUCCUGACAUGGGCUGCGGGCUGCUCUUCGGCACUUGGUGGCGCCCUGCAGGCGGUACUCCCCAGAAUACACCAAGGAACCACCUGCCUGAUGGACUGCACUUUCCAUGGAUUCCUUUGGAGAGGAAGACCCAAACCGCCAGGACCUGCUUAUCAGGCCCCAUCGACACUGAUCCUUUCAUGCAGUUUGAACUGCAUAUGAGGCUGGGUUUAUACUGCCCUCUAUCUCAGGAUCUGAUCCCAGAUUAUCUGCAUCUGGGAAAAGCAGAUAGUCUGGGAUCAGAUCCUUGUGUAUAGGGAGUGUAGAUCCAACCUGAGUCUGUACUGAAUGUAUAAUACAAUUCAAACUGCAUGAGAUGACAGUGUAGGUAAAGCUGUUGGCCUCAUCUAUACCGCCAUAUAAUCCUGUUUCAGAAUGCAUAUUAUCCGUGGUUCAAAAUGGAUUAUAUGGGAGUUUAGACAGGGCCUAAGAGGGAGAAGUGAGAGAAGAUGACAGUGCAACAAUGUAAGGGAGAUUUACACUGUCCUAUUUCGCAGGAUCGGAUCCCAGAUUAUCUGCUUUAAACUGGAUUAUUUGAGCCAAAUAAUCUGAGAUCAGAUCCUGGGAUAAGGGGCAGUGUGGAAGAGGCCGUAGUUGGUGCAAAUAUAGUCCUGGACUUACAGUGGAGGGAGGCCCAGGCAUCUCUGGCGGAGGGAUUCCAAGGUUUCCCUCCACCGCAAAUCCUAGGACUCUUAGCUCAGCCUUGGAGGAGAACAACCGCCCUUGAGCAGCACAGUUAGAGUAUCCCAUACGCUCUGUUUUCUUUCUUUUUUUGUAGUUUAGCUUAUAUAAUUGUAUCAUCUAAUAUUGUAAUUUUUAAUAUCUGUUCUGAUUAUUAUAAAUAUAUCCUUUUCUUUUUAAUUUGGUGCUUUCCUUGGAUUACUUUGGGGAGGGGGAGGGAGACCCAAACCACUCAGGACCUGCAACUCAGGCCCCAUCUACAUUGCCAUAUAUAUCGCAGUUCAAACUGCGUUAUAUGGUGAGUGUCGGCUCAUAUAAUGCAAUUUAAUGCAGUUAUAUUAAUCUACAUUAACCAUAUAAUACAGUUUGAACUGCAUUAAAUUGACAGUGUAGGCAAGGCCUAAGAGGAAUGAAAAUGCUGGUUUAUGCAAAAAUUUGUGUCAUUACACUGUGUCACGUUAAGAUCAUGCUGUGACCAUGAUGGCAUGGCUGUGUAAAUAAAAUCUGCAUUUUUAAAGAACUGUUUGUGUGUGUGUUUAUAAAUGCUUUGCUGGGGGAUAUGUUCCUUGUGGAAAUGAGAAACUGGGGAGAAUAGCGAACCCUAUCACAAUCAAUGAUACCCUCAGCAGCUCUUUCCACGUCUAUUCUGACCUGUUUUGAUGGGCAGGAAAGAAAGAUUUGUCCUUUGGAGAGAAACUGUGGUUCUAGCCAGACUAAGGGUGAAUUAUUUCUCUUUUUCUGGCCCCAAAUGGAAGGGCAGGGCAAUGUCUUGGCAAGUGCACCAGAAUUUGCUGGAUGGGGAAUUAAUCGAUUGAUCCCGGGUCACAUUGGAGGCAGAUGGGCUGAGUCAAAGCAGGGAAAGCCGCAUGCAAUUUCAUCAUUCACGUAUAUGUAUAUCUGUUUAUGAAUGAUGGAAUAGUAGGCAGCUUUACUAGUUUGUUCUCUCUAAAUAUCAUUUUAUAUAUCCAGACACACACACACACAUUGGAAAUAUAAAAUAUUUAGGGAGAAUGAAUCAAACACAUAUACAACACCAUGCAAAAAUUCAACGAAUCAGAUGUACAACACACUUUAUAGCUACAAUACUAACCUACAAUUAAACUUCUACAGUGUGCCUUUGGUGCCUUGUGUCCCAUCUCCUUUGCUCUCUUCCCUUUUGCCUAUUGUGUUGGUGCAUCUGGCACCAUAUGUCCAUCCCU